CUCUGUUUGUUUGGACUGAAAAUCUUUUCCAGAAAAUAUUUUCUUCAAUUUCUGGUGUUUGGCUGCAAAAGAGGUCAGGAAAAUUUUUUCCAGUAGAAAAUCUUUUACAUAACUUGGUGUAAAAUGACUUCCGGAAUUAAGAUACGGAAGUUAAUUUCCGACAACUAUCGUGACUUACUAGUCUCCUUGGUACUUGACUAUUGUAAAAAACCAUCAAGUACUACAUCACAGAGAUCAAAUCAAGAGCAACAUCCCUGCACUUGCUUCUGCAAAUUCCACAACUUUCCACCUCUUCGAGCUCCCUUCUUUCUUAUGUUCCUCCCUACUAUUCAUUUUCACUUGCUCCACACAAACACAUUUAUGGAUUAUGCAAUUCUAGAUCUAAAUUGGGCUUUACAUUGAGAAGCUUUGGAGAAGGAAAAAAAAAGUGAAGCCAAUGGAGGCAGGAGGAAUACUUUUAGAAGAAGAGUUAAUACAAUAAACAUCAA
Molecule: long non-coding RNA, 488 nt
Filed under: Coffea arabica (coffee)
Lineage: Eukaryota; Viridiplantae; Streptophyta; Magnoliopsida; Gentianales; Rubiaceae
Description: long non-coding RNA (CARA_LNC000866)
Source: RNAcentral